This 253-nucleotide ribosomal RNA is filed under the name uncultured bacterium. Its description in RNAcentral is "partial 16S ribosomal RNA". It matches the Rfam family "Bacterial small subunit ribosomal RNA", at positions 524 to 776 of the family's 1533-position model. The record is from RNAcentral.
CACGUAGGGCGCAAGCGUUGUCCGGAAUUAUUGGGCGUAAAGAGCUCGUAGGUGGUUUGCUGCGUCCGCUGUGAAAACCCAAGGCUUAACCUUGGGCUUGCAGUGGAUACGGGCAGACUAGAGGUAGGUAGGGGAGAAUGGAAUUCCCGGUGUAGCGGUGAAAUGCGCAGAUAUCGGGAGGAACACCGGUGGCGAAGGCGGUUCUCUGGGCCUGUACUGACGCUGAGGAGCGAAAGCGUGGGGAGCGAACAGG